This is a long non-coding RNA of Erpetoichthys calabaricus (reedfish), 428 nucleotides long. RefSeq lists it as uncharacterized. The record is from RefSeq and is a predicted model, not a curated record. Lineage: Eukaryota; Metazoa; Chordata; Cladistia; Polypteriformes; Polypteridae. The transcript is spliced from 3 exons.
GCAGAACCGUGAAGCCGCGAAGCGGUUUUCCUACUAGAAGCCUCGCUGGGCGGCUGGCGCGCUCGCCGCUUCUUGUGACUGGCAGGCGCUUUCGUUUGUAUUAAGAAUACAAGACGAGAAUCGGAAGAAGGGCGUGAACAACAGCUUGGUACGUGUGACCGAUGCCGACACAGAAGCUGGAUGAAGUAGGCUCGCUGAAUGGAUGGAUAAGCGGUCGGCUCGUCCCGACGGAGAACUGAUGCCCAGUACACGCUGAUGAAAUACCAGAUGGGUCGCAUGUGCCUGAGGUGGUCAUACAAGGAACUUGUGUGAACCUCCGCAACACCAUUUUGCUUCUGCUUGCAGUUGUAUCAGGAGGUGACAGUCAUUUAAAAAAAGAACUCAGAUCAGAAUGAGGAACACCUCGAGCAGAACACACGACCACUGAG